AUGUUUCACUUGGUGUCCAACUUCAAGAAGAAGUUUCAUGGAAAGGUUUUUGAUGACCACCUUUGGGCUGCUGCUUACUCAUGGAACCCAUAUUUAUUUGAGAAAAAUUGGGUUGCAAUGGACAUAGCAAAGCCAAUGGCAACUGCAUAUCUUAGGAAGUGGCACACUAGGUUGUGGUCUAGGAGUCAGUUCUCAACAAUUUCCAAGGUGGAUUAUGUUACAAACAACUUGGCUGAGUGCUUCAAUAAUUGGAUUAAGCAUCACAAGUCCUUGAACUUGGACGGCUUCUUUGAUAAGCUUAGGCAAUUGAUUAUGAUCAUGUGGAACCGAAGGAGAAAGGUAGCAAGAAAGUUAGCUGGGUUGAUUCUUCCCCACAUAAUUAAGAAGUUGAAUGCAAAGACCAGAGAAUUAAACUUGGAGGUGGUUGAAAGCUCAGAAGAAGUUGCUGAAGUAACCGCAUUGGGAGCCAGCGGCUUUAGGUUUGUGGUCAACUUGCUUGACAGGACAUGUUCUUGUAGACAAUGGGAAGUUACUGGACUUCCUUGCAAACAUGGUCUAGCAUUUAUCACAUCUCUUACCAAUGCACGCAUAGAGUACUAUGUGGACUUGUGUUACUCCAUUCACAAAUUUAGAGCAGCUUAUGACCAACUAAUCCCUGCCAUUGUUGACAAGAACCAAUGGCCUAAAUCAGACCAUGGAUUCUUCAUGUUUCCACCACUACUAAAAGCCACAUCGGGUAGGCCUAAAACUGAGAGGUAUAAAGGCUGCAGUGAGAAGAAAAGAAAAAGCGCCAACACUUAUGCCCUAUUUGCAAGGACUAUGGGCAUCAUUGGCACAAAUGCAAGAAGGGUAACCCAGAUGACAUUGCUACUAUUUUAG
This 879-nucleotide ribosomal RNA is filed under the name Triticum aestivum (bread wheat). Its description in RNAcentral is "partial small subunit ribosomal RNA". Lineage: Eukaryota; Viridiplantae; Streptophyta; Magnoliopsida; Poales; Poaceae. The record is from RNAcentral.